Molecule: ribosomal RNA, 468 nt
Filed under: uncultured bacterium
Lineage: Bacteria
Description: partial 16S ribosomal RNA
Rfam family: Bacterial small subunit ribosomal RNA
Source: RNAcentral
GACGAACGCUGGCGGCGUGCUUAACACAUGCAAGUCGAACGGAAAGGCCCUGCUUUUGUGGGGUGCUCGAGUGGCGAACGGGUGAGUAACACGUGAGUAGCCUGCCCUUGACUUUGGGAUAACUUCAGGAAACUGGGGCUAAUACCGGAUAGGAGCUCCUGCUGCAUGGUGGGGGUUGGAAAGUUUCGGCGGUUGGGGAUGGACUCGCGGCUUAUCAGCUUGUUGGUGGGGUAGUGGCUUACCAAGGCUUUGACGGGUAGCCGGCCUGAGAGGGUGACCGGCCACAUUGGGACUGAGAUACGGCCCAGACUCCUACGGGAGGCAGCAGUGGGGAAUAUUGCACAAUGGGCGGAAGCCUGAUGCAACAACGCCGCGUGCGGGAUGACGGCCUUCGGGUUGUAAACCGCUUUCGCCUGUGACGAAGCGUGAGUGACGGUAAUGGGUAAAGAAGCACCGGCUAACUACGUG